Molecule: ribosomal RNA, 255 nt
Filed under: Salmonella enterica subsp. enterica serovar Goldcoast
Lineage: Bacteria; Pseudomonadati; Pseudomonadota; Gammaproteobacteria; Enterobacterales; Enterobacteriaceae
Description: partial 23S ribosomal RNA
Rfam family: Bacterial large subunit ribosomal RNA
Source: RNAcentral
CCUGUACUUGGUGUUACUGCGAAGGGGGGACGGAGAAGGCUAUGUUGGCCGGGCGACGGUUGUCCCGGUUUAAGCGUGUAGGUGUGUGUUCCAGGUAAAUCCGGUUCACUUUAACACUGAGGCGUGAUGACGAGGCACUACGGUGCUGAAGCAACAAAUGCCCUGCUUCCAGGAAAAGCCUCUAAGCAUCAGGUAACAUCAAAUCGUACCCCAAACCGACACAGGUGGUCAGGUAGAGAAUACCAAGGCGCUUGA